RNAcentral lists this ribosomal RNA (437 nucleotides) under Omalogyra sp. AD-2009. RNAcentral's name for it is "partial 16S ribosomal RNA". It matches the Rfam family "Bacterial large subunit ribosomal RNA", at positions 1796 to 2618 of the family's 2925-position model. Lineage: Eukaryota; Metazoa; Mollusca; Gastropoda; Omalogyridae. The record is from RNAcentral.
UCGCCUGUUUAUCAAAAACAUAGCUUUUUGAUUUUAUAAUAAGUGUUUCCUGCUCAAUGACGUUAUUAAAUAGCUGCAGUAUUUUGACUGCACUAAGGUAGCAUAAUCAGUUGUCUUUUAAUUAAGGUCUAGAAUGAAUGGGGCAAUGGGGCAUUAAAGUAUUUUAAUAAUUAAAAGUAAAUUAAAUAUUAAGUGAAAACUCUUAAUAUUUUUAGAAAGACGAAAAGACCCUAAAGAAUUUUUAAAAAUAUUUUGAUGGGGCAUCAUUGAAUUAAAACAUUCUUUUGUUAAAUUACCUUAGGGAUAACAGCUUAAAAGAGAGAUAACUCUUUAGAUAAGACCUCGAUGUUGGACUAGAAACCAAACUAGCUUAAAAAGUUUUACUAUUUGGUGGGUCUGUUCGACCUAUUUUUUCUACGUGAUCUGAGUUCAGACCG